RNAcentral lists this ribosomal RNA (253 nucleotides) under uncultured bacterium. RNAcentral's name for it is "partial 16S ribosomal RNA". It matches the Rfam family "Bacterial small subunit ribosomal RNA", at positions 524 to 776 of the family's 1533-position model. The record is from RNAcentral.
UACGGGGGGGGCAAGCGUUGUUCGGAAUUACUGGGCGCAAAGGGCUCGUAGGUGGCCAACUAAGUCAGACGUGAAAUCCCUCAGCUUAACUGGGGAACUGCGUCUGAUACUGGAUGGCUUGAGUUUGGGAGAGGGAUGCGGAACUCCAGGUGUAGCGGUGAAAUGCGUAGAUAUCUGGAGGAACACCGGUGGCGAAGGCGGCAUCCUGGACCAACACUGACACUGAUGAGCGAAAGCCAGGGGAGCAAACGGG